UUGUUGCUGAACCUCAGCCUCACCCUGACAAGUACCAACCACUUGUGAUCAGAUGGUGGAUUGUUGGCCCAGGACCAACAAGUAGUAUCAAUGCUUUGCUACAUGCCAAAAACUAGCUUAAGAAAUAAGGGAUUUUCUUUACUUUUAAGUUAGUAUAACUCAUCCUAAAUUUUUAAUGUAGAAUUGUUCCAACAUGGAUCAUCCUCAUGAGAAGCGAAGUUGCAGCCCUCGUAAUCCUGAUAACUUCCAAUCCUAUAUAUGUUCUCUAGGCAAAAGCAUAACAACUUGAAACUAUAACUCGCUUUGCAAAUUUAAACUUUUGAGGGCAGGGAAAUGUGUAUUCUGAAAUUAGGUGACAUCAGGUAAGUGUGGUCUAAAAUGAUGAACUAAACCAGCAGCAGAAGUAACCUUGUAGCUGCACAGUGCAAACUGAAUUUCAAGACCUGCAAAAUCUGAAAGGAAUGGACCGUACUUUUUUUUUGACAA
Molecule: long non-coding RNA, 486 nt
Filed under: Oryza brachyantha (malo sina)
Lineage: Eukaryota; Viridiplantae; Streptophyta; Magnoliopsida; Poales; Poaceae
Description: long non-coding RNA (OBRA_LNC003247)
Source: RNAcentral